RNAcentral lists this ribosomal RNA (574 nucleotides) under Daedalea confragosa. RNAcentral describes it as "partial large subunit ribosomal RNA". It matches the Rfam family "Eukaryotic large subunit ribosomal RNA", at positions 40 to 614 of the family's 3401-position model. Lineage: Eukaryota; Fungi; Basidiomycota; Agaricomycetes; Polyporales; Fomitopsidaceae. The record is from RNAcentral.
AUAUCAAUAAGCGGAGGAAAAGAAACUAACAAGGAUUCCCCUAGUAACUGCGAGUGAAGCGGGAAAAGCUCAAAUUUAAAAUCUGGCGGUCUUUGGCCGUCCGAGUUGUAGUCUGGAGAAGUGCUUUCCGCGCUGGACCGUGUAUAAGUCUCUUGGAACAGAGCGUCAUAGAGGGUGAGAAUCCCGUCUUUGACACGGACUACCAGUGCUUUGUGAUGCGCUCUCAAAGAGUCGAGUUGUUUGGGAAUGCAGCUCAAAAUGGGUGGUAAAUUCCAUCUAAAGCUAAAUAUUGGCGAGAGACCGAUAGCGAACAAGUACCGUGAGGGAAAGAUGAAAAGCACUUUGGAAAGAGAGUUAAACAGUACGUGAAAUUGCUGAAAGGGAAACACUUGAAGUCAGUCGCGUUGGCCGGAACUCAGCCUUGCUUUCGCUUGGUGCACUUUCCGGUUGACGGGCCAGCAUCGAUUUCGACCGGCGGAAAAGGGUUGGAGAAAUGUGGCACCCUCGGGUGUGUUAUAGUCUCUAGUCGCAUACGUCGGUCGGGAUCGAGGAUCGCAGCGCGCCGCAAGGCAGG